AGCCUGAGUGAUCCUGGGCAGAGUCAUUUUCUCUGAACAUCAUCAGUUUGAAAGAACCACAAACAAGGACAUGGUAUCUUGUGUUCUUGGCAAAGCUGAGUCCUGACUUGUCUCCAGUGGCUGUUCUCUGGAAGUGAGCCUGAAGGGCGUCAAUGGAGCAGAAUUAUCUCAGUAAAAGAUUGAAUAUAGAAGAGAAGGAGAAAGAGGAGGAAGAGAAGGAGGAACAGAAGAGGAGAAGGAGGCAGAAGUAAAAGGAAGGAGGAAGAUGAAACAGAAAGAGGAAGAGGAGCAGUUGAAGCAGAGUCUCACUUUGUUGCCCAGGCUGGAGUGCUGUGGCUUCAGCCUACUUCACAGCUUGAACUCCUGGGUUCAAGCAAUCCUCCUGCCUCAGCUUCCGAAGUAGCUGAGACUACAAGUGUCUACCACAAUGUCCGGCUAAUCGUUCUAUUUUUUAGUUGAGAUCACGUCUCCCUCUUGCUCUGGCUGGUCUCACCUGAGCUCAAG
Long non-coding RNA from Nycticebus coucang (slow loris), 504 nucleotides. RefSeq lists it as uncharacterized. NCBI's taxonomy places the organism in Eukaryota, Metazoa, Chordata, Mammalia, Primates, Lorisidae. The transcript is spliced from 4 exons. The record is from RefSeq and is a predicted model, not a curated record.